CCUACGGGAGGCUGCAGUGGGGAAUAUUGCGCAAUGGGCGAAAGCCUGACGCAGCGACGCCGCGUGAGGGAUGAAGGUCUUCGGAUCGUAAACCUCUGUCAGCAGGGAAGAACGGUCACUGUGCUAAUCAGCAGUGAAUGGACGGUACCUGCAAAGGAAGCACCGGCUAACUCCGUGCCAGCAGCCGCGGUAAGACGGAGGGUGCGAGCGUUAAUCGGAAUUACUGGGCGUAAAGCGCUCGUAGGCGGUAUGUCACGUCAAGGGUGAAAUCCCCGCGCUCUACGUUGGAACUUCCUUUGAAACUGGCAAACUGGAGUGUGUGAGCGGAUAGUGGCAUUCCAGGUGUAGGCGU
RNAcentral lists this ribosomal RNA (352 nucleotides) under uncultured bacterium. RNAcentral describes it as "partial 16S ribosomal RNA". It matches the Rfam family "Bacterial small subunit ribosomal RNA", at positions 338 to 682 of the family's 1533-position model. The record is from RNAcentral.